This 373-nucleotide long non-coding RNA is filed under the name Spirodela polyrhiza (greater duckweed). Its description in RNAcentral is "long non-coding RNA (SPOL_LNC002196)". Lineage: Eukaryota; Viridiplantae; Streptophyta; Magnoliopsida; Alismatales; Araceae. The record is from RNAcentral.
GGGAUCAGCAGCGCCGUCCACUUGAAGGCAUACAGCUCCCCCCCCUCGUCGCCGCUGCCCUCUGCUCCGGCGGCCUUGGAGGUGACGGUGAAGCGGGUCUCCACUCCGGCGACGACCUUCAGCAGCCCCUGCGCCACCGCCGCCAGGUGAGCGGAGACUCCUCCGAUGACCCAGAACUGCUCGUUCCGCCACCACUCCUCCACGCUCACCCCGCUCCAUCUCAGCUCCAGGACCCCCGUGGCGACGAUGGACGCGAACAGUCCGAUGAACACGAGGCUCUCCAGCGCCCCAAUCUGCAUGAAAUACCAGAACCAGAGUCAGCCCUUCAUCAGCCCCCUCUCCGGCGGUCAGCGGCGGAGAUUUUACUCACCGG